CCAGACUCCUACGGGAGGCAGCAGUGAGGAAUAUUGGUCAAUGGGCGGGAGCCUGAACCAGCCAAGUCGCGUGAGGGACGACGGUCCUAUGGAUUGUAAACCUCUUUUGUCGGGGAACAAAGGCGUCCACGGGUGGGCGGAUGAGUGUACCCGAAGAAAAAGCAUCGGCUAACUCCGUGCCAGCAGCCGCGGUAAUACGGAGGAUGCGAGCGUUAUCCGGAUUUAUUGGGUUUAAAGGGUGCGUAGGCGGACAGUCAAGUCAGCGGUAAAAAUGCGGUGCUCAACGCCGUACAGCCGUUGAAACUGGGGGCCUUGAGUGGGCGAGAAGAAGGCGGAAUGCGUGGUGUAGCGGUGAAAUGCAUAGAUAUCACGCAGAACCCCGAUUGCGAAGGCAGCCUUCCGGCGCCCUACUGACGCUGAGGCACGAAAGUGCGGGGAUCGAACAGGAUUAGAUACCCGCGUACC
RNAcentral lists this ribosomal RNA (465 nucleotides) under uncultured bacterium. RNAcentral describes it as "bacterial SSU rRNA". It matches the Rfam family "Bacterial small subunit ribosomal RNA", at positions 331 to 796 of the family's 1533-position model. The record is from RNAcentral.